This 720-nucleotide unclassified non-coding RNA is filed under the name Bombus terrestris (buff-tailed bumblebee). RNAcentral's name for it is "misc RNA ENSBTSG00005028461.1". The record is from RNAcentral. Lineage: Eukaryota; Metazoa; Arthropoda; Insecta; Hymenoptera; Apidae.
AAAGGAUAUCACAGAAUUUUUUUCAAGAGAUAUAGUCUCGCGAGAGUGGGAUAAAUUCUCGUAAUUGGUCGUUGUUUCGUCAGGCGUUAUCUUGAGGGCUGGACCAGCCGGAACCAGAGAUGAAUUCUUGCAUGCCUUCCAUUGAAACACCCUGCCGGAAAUUACACUUUUUACUUUUCCCCACCUCUGCGAAAUUGAGUGGGUGCCUAGAGCCUGAUGAGAAGCAUCCGCAAGGAAAGCCAACGUGCAACGCGAACUCCGCCCGCUGAAUGUUUAAAUGCACGGCAGGACUUUAUCUCGGAAUUGUACCCAGCAAGGGAUGAAAUCUGCGGCUGCCGGCAGCCAACACCAGCCAGCCGGAAAUCUGCGUGAUUAAGUGCACCCUUCGUUGGACGAUAAUUGCUCUACAAAUACGCGAAAUUUAUUGCGAAUUCACCGCUAGACAGCGGGGACACGUCCCUUUUGCAACCUACCACGAAUUUCCUCGGGACGACUACAUCUGACGGUCAAGCUAAAUAAACGAUUAUCCUUUCUUCAUUUCACUUUACAGCCGAUAAACAGUACCUUGACCAUUUGUAAAUUCUCUUCAAGGAAAGACGUCGUAUCGCCCACGUUAUCGUGCAGGAAACAGUUAAAAAAAAGUUCUCCUAGUUCGAUACGGUAUAUUUUACGGAACACCACGAUUAUUGUUUUUGUGCGGUUUGUUCAAAUCUCUGCAGU